This 70-nucleotide ribosomal RNA is filed under the name uncultured bacterium. RNAcentral describes it as "partial 16S ribosomal RNA". The record is from RNAcentral.
AGCGACAAUAGGGCGCAAGCCUGAUCCAGCCAUGCCGCGUGCAGGAAGAAGGCCUUCGGGUUGUAAACUG